Molecule: ribosomal RNA, 478 nt
Filed under: uncultured bacterium
Lineage: Bacteria
Description: partial 16S ribosomal RNA
Rfam family: Bacterial small subunit ribosomal RNA
Source: RNAcentral
GACGAACGCUGGCGGCGUGCUUAACACAUGCAAGUCGAACGGUAAGGCCCUUCGGGGUACACGAGUGGCGAACGGGUGAGUAACACGUGGGUGAUCUGCCCUGCACUUCGGGAUAAGACUGGGAAACUGGGUCUAAUACCGGAUAGGACUCCGGACUGCAUGGUCUGGGGUGGAAAGCUUUUGCGGUGUGGGAUGGGCCCGCGGCCUAUCAGCUUGUUGGUGGGGUGAUGGCCUACCAAGGCGACGACGGGUAGCCGGCCUGAGAGGGUGACCGGCCACACUGGGACUGAGAUACGGCCCAGACUCCUACGGGAGGCAGCAGUGGGGAAUAUUGCACAACGGGCGCAAGCCUGAUGCAGCGACGCCGCGUGAGGAAUGACGGCCUUCGGGUUGUAAACCUCUUUCAGCAUCGACGAAGCGAAAGUGACGGUAGGUGCAGAAGAAGGACCGGCCAACUACGUGCCAGCCGCCGCAGUAA